GUGCUCACUUCGACAGCACACAUACUAAAAUUGGAACAAUACAGAGAAGAUUAAUACGGCCCCUGUAUAAGGAUGACGUGCAAAUUCGUGAAGUUUUCCAUAUAAAG
Molecule: small nuclear RNA, 107 nt
Organism: Lemur catta (Ring-tailed lemur)
Lineage: Eukaryota; Metazoa; Chordata; Mammalia; Primates; Lemuridae
Source: RefSeq, a predicted model, not a curated record